AGAGUUUGAUCAUGGCUCAGGAUGAACGCUGGCGGCGUGCCUAACACAUGCAAGUCGAGCGAUUCUCUUCGGAGAAGAGCGGCGGACGGGUGAGUAACGCGUGGGUAACCUGCCUCAUACACAUGGAUAACAUACCGAAAGGUAUGCUAAUACAAGAUGGUAUAAGAGAUUCGCAUGGGUUUCUUAUCAAAGCUCCGGCGGUAUGAGAUGGACCCGCGUCUGAUUAGCUAGUUGGUAAGGUAACGGCUUACCAAGGCGACGAUCAGUAGCCGACCUGAGAGGGUGAUCGGCCACAUUGGAACUGAGACACGGUCCAAACUCCUACGGGAGGCAGCAGUGGGGAAUAUUGCACAAUGGGCGAAAGCCUGAUGCAGCAACGCCGCGUGAGCGAUGAAGGCCUUCGGGUCGUAAAGCUCUGUCCUCAAGGAAGAUAAUGACGGUACUUGAGGAGGAAGCCCCGGCUAACUACGUGCCAGCAGCCGCGGUAAUACGUAGGGGGCUAGCGUUAUCCGGAUUUACUGGGCGUAAAGGGUGCGUAGGUGGUUUCUUAAGUCAGGAGUGAAAGGCUACGGCUCAACCGUAGUAAGCUCUUGAAACUGGGAAACUUGAGUGCAGGAGAGGAAAGUGGAAUUCCUAGUGUAGCGGUGAAAUGCGUAGAUAUUAGGAGGAACACCAGUAGCGAAGGCGGCUUUCUGGACUGUAACUGACACUGAGGCACGAAAGCGUGGGGAGCAAACAGGAUUAGAUACCCUGGUAGUCCACGCCGUAAACGAUGAGUACUAGGUGUCGGGGGUUACCCCUCUCGGUGCCGCAGCUAACGCAUUAAGUACUCCGCCUGGGGAGUACGCUCGCAAGAGUGAAACUCAAAGGAAUUGACGG
Molecule: ribosomal RNA, 879 nt
Filed under: uncultured bacterium
Lineage: Bacteria
Description: bacterial SSU rRNA
Rfam family: Bacterial small subunit ribosomal RNA
Source: RNAcentral